CUGGCGGCGGCUUACACAUGCAGUCGAGCGGUAACAGGAGAAGCUUGCUUCUCGCUGACGAGCGGCGGACGGGUGAGUAAUACUUAGGAAUCUACCUAGUAGUGGGGGAUAGCACGGGGAAACUCGUAUUAAUACCGCAUACGACCUACGGGAGAAAGGGGGCAGUUUACUGCUCUCGCUAUUAGAUGAGCCUAAGUCGGAUUAGCUAGAUGGUGGGGUAAAGGCCUACCAUGGCGACGAUCUGUAGCUGGUCUGAGAGGAUGAUCAGCCACACCGGGACUGAGACACGGCCCGGACUCCUACGGGAGGCAGCAGUGGGGAAUAUUGGACAAUGGGGGAAACCCUGAUCCAGCCAUGCCGCGUGUGUGAAGAAGGCCUUUUGGUUGUAAAGCACUUUAAGCAGUGAAGAAGACUCCAUGGUUAAUACCCAUGGACGAUGACAUUAGCUGCAGAAUAAGCACCGGCUAACUCUGUGCCAGCAGCCGCGGUAAU
This 492-nucleotide ribosomal RNA is filed under the name uncultured bacterium. RNAcentral describes it as "bacterial SSU rRNA". It matches the Rfam family "Bacterial small subunit ribosomal RNA", at positions 36 to 524 of the family's 1533-position model. The record is from RNAcentral.